This 253-nucleotide ribosomal RNA is filed under the name uncultured bacterium. Its description in RNAcentral is "partial 16S ribosomal RNA". It matches the Rfam family "Bacterial small subunit ribosomal RNA", at positions 524 to 776 of the family's 1533-position model. The record is from RNAcentral.
GACAGAGGUCCCGAGCGUUGUCCGGAAUCAUUGGGCGUAAAGCGCGUGUAGGCGGCUCGGUAAGUCUGCUCUGAAAGUCCAAGGCUCAACCUUGGGAUGCGGGUGGAUACUGCCGGGCUCGAGUCCGGAAGAGGCGAGUGGAAUUCCUGGUGUAGCGGUGAAAUGCGCAGAUAUCAGGAGGAACACCAAUGGCGAAGGCAGCUCGCUGGGACGUGACUGACGCUGAGACGCGAAAGCGUGGGGAGCAAACAGG